UGGCGGCAGUAGCGCGGUGGUCCCACCUGACCCCAUGCCGAACUCAGAAGUGAAACGCCGUAGCGCCGAUGGUAGUGUGGGGUCUCCCCAUGUGAGAGUAGGGAACUGCCAGACA
Molecule: ribosomal RNA, 115 nt
Filed under: Escherichia coli
Lineage: Bacteria; Pseudomonadati; Pseudomonadota; Gammaproteobacteria; Enterobacterales; Enterobacteriaceae
Also listed under: 14 other names
Source: RNAcentral